GCCCUACACUGCAAGUUGAACGAAGUAGCAUACUUAGUGGCAGACGGGUGAGUAACAUGUAGGUAUCUGCCCUUUGGCCUGGAAUAACACGAGGAAACUUGUGCUAAUACCGGAUAAGUCUUUACGGAGAAAGCUUUAUGCACCAUUGGAUGAGCCUGCACUUGAUUAGUUUGUUGGUGGGGUAGUGGCCUACCAAGACUGUGAUCAAUAGCUGAUUUGAGAGGAUGAUCAGCCACAUUGGGACUGAGACACGGCCCAAACUCCUACGGGAGGCAGCAGUGGGGAAUCUUGCACAAUGGAGGAAACUCUGAUGCAGCGAUGCCGCGUGAGUGAAGAAGGCCCUUGGGUUGUAAAACUCUUUCGUCGGGGAAGAAAAUGACUGUACCCGAAUAAGAAGGUCCGGCUAACUUCGUGCCAGCAGCCGCGGUAAUACGAAGGGACCUAGCGUAGUUCGGAAUUACUGGGCUUAAAGAGCUCGUAGGUGGUUAACAAAGUUGAUUGUGAAAUCCCAAGGCUCAACCUUGGAACUGCAAUCACAACUAUUUAGCUUGAGUGUGAUAGAGGAAAGUGGAAUUUCUAGUGUAGAGGUGAAAUUCGGAGAUCUUCGAAAGAACAUCAAAGCGAAGGACUUUCUGGUCCACUG
This 643-nucleotide ribosomal RNA is filed under the name uncultured Alphaproteobacteria bacterium. RNAcentral's name for it is "bacterial SSU rRNA". It matches the Rfam family "Bacterial small subunit ribosomal RNA", at positions 46 to 739 of the family's 1533-position model. Lineage: Bacteria; Pseudomonadati; Pseudomonadota; Alphaproteobacteria. The record is from RNAcentral.